Molecule: small nucleolar RNA, 92 nt
Organism: Ziziphus jujuba (common jujube)
Lineage: Eukaryota; Viridiplantae; Streptophyta; Magnoliopsida; Rosales; Rhamnaceae
Product: small nucleolar RNA R11/Z151
Exons: 1
Source: RefSeq, a predicted model, not a curated record
GUGCUAAUGAUGAUAAAUUUAAUUAUCUUAGCGGAUUUCAGUGAGAUAAUAUAAAAUUGUCAAUGAUCUGAUUGUUACACACACUGAAGCCC